This is a non-coding RNA of Podarcis muralis (Common wall lizard), 2495 nucleotides long. The record is from RefSeq and is a predicted model, not a curated record. NCBI's taxonomy places the organism in Eukaryota, Metazoa, Chordata, Lepidosauria, Squamata, Lacertidae.
GAAUUCUGUUGCUUCUCAACAGGGCAACCAAAUCUCUGUAGUUAGAUCUAAGGUCCAAGAGAUAUUUCGGGAUGUCUUUAAAUAUCUCCACACUUGACUGAUGUAUUUCCAAGGUCUUCUGGAAAUGCAGACUCAAUAUUUUGUCUCUCUCCUCUUUUGUUUGGAGGGUAAUCAAACAGUCUCUCACCCUGUUCUUCCCCCCUCUUCCAAGCCUAAAUGCACUCACUAUCUUAAAUUCUUCCUUCUCCAAAUCUGGUUUCCAAAAGUCUGCAAAUUCCUGCGUAAGGAAGUCAAUCAGGUUGUCUUUCUCAAGUUCAGGCACAGCCCUGAUCCUCAGAUUCGUUUGUUUCUCUUUCAAUUAAAUCAUAGACAACAUCGACCUGUGGUCCUCUAAUUGUCUUUCUAUAGGUGGUAUCUUCUCCUCUACAGAAACUGCUUUUUCCUUAGCUUCUUCAGCUGUCUGUCGGGUCAAGGUAGAUUCCUGUAGCAAUUUCUCAAUAGUUUCUGUGUUAGUAUUCACCUUCUGUCCCAGAUUAUUAAUACUUGUGGUGUUUUGAUCAAUUUUAGUUGAUGCUUCAGCUACUUGUUUACUUAACUUUUCCAAAGAUUCAUUUAUUCUUCCUAGUGCAAGUGCUAAAACAUCUUCAGAAGCCAUUACUUUUGACUUAGGUUGUACAGAUGCUGCUGCUAAUGGAGCAGAAGGGCCAGAUGUUGAUGCUCUUCACUGCCAGGAUUUACCAGACCUCGUUGUUUUUUCUUGAAGCAAAUCUAUCUUUUCUUUCCCAUCUGCCAUAACACUCUAACUGCAGCCCAAGGUAAAUCCCAUGUUUAGAGUUUGUUUUGAAGUGGAAAAUUCCCCUGGCUCAGUUGUUGUAACAAUUUCAAACUUCCUCUAGGGGGACACAGUAACAGUCAAGACUUGUUGCAUUAAAAAAUAACUCUUUUUAAAACCCCCAUUUCACAAAAUAAGCAACAGUUUCAAAUUCAGUUACUUUCAGUCACUUUAAAAUCAGGAGAAGCCAGCCGGGAACAAUGUAUCUCUCUUGCAGAAUUAGCUGUCAAAAAGUACUCUAUUCACAAAAAGCGCAUUUCACAAAGCGGCAGUCUUAUCGUCCAUUGGCAGCCCGUUCCCAGGUUUUAAGCGGUGGAUUUUUAUUUCCUUCCCUCUUUUUUGCAGGAAAAUACAGUUCAAUCCUUUCCCCCCUCCUCUCCUGCUGCCAAGGGGGGAAAUCACUUGUUUUGAUGUUCGAAUUAUAGUCCUUCCCAAUCGACUUCCCAAUCAACAACUCAUAUUCUAACUACAGUAACCAUUUUAGGAAAGGGACAAUGGGCACAACUUGUGACCCACCAAGAAAAAUUCAGCCCCCCCAUCCUUUUAUGUACUGUAGUUUGCCAGUGUCUCAGAGGUGUGUCCAUAUAAGUUCUACUCAGAGUGCACCCAUUGAAAAUGAUGGACAUAAUUUACUCUUCAUUAUAUUCAGUUGGUCUUCUCUGAGUAGGACGAGCAUUGGAUACAAUCCUCUGUUUCACCAUCUCAGACAAGCAGCAGAAACAGAGGCAUCGUGUUUCUGUCAUUCUUGCUGAGCACUCUCACCCCUUACAGCUUUUGGCUCAGGAUAUCCAGAAUGUCAUUUUAUUUGGAGUGCUGACUGACACAAUUUGAAGGAGGAAUAUUGGAGUGUGGUGGGCAGUCUUUUUAAAAAACAGAAUCACAUGAGACUUAGAGUUGUAAGGUACCUUAGAGGCAAUUUAGUCCACCUAUUAGUGUAAUUGACUGUGAAUGUGUGCACUAAUGGGAACUUUAAUUAAAGUAGCUUUGAUUUGGAGGGAUUUGUUAAAUUUAAACUGAGUAGAGCAUUUAAUUCAAUUCUGUUGGAAUAACGCUUUCAAGCUGGGGAAAAUGUUGUUUUUGUUGUCGACGGAAAAAUGCUAAUGGAAGUAUGAAUGUUUAAUACCUAAUGCUGCUCUUGCUGCUGCCCAGCUGACUGAGGCAAUUCCGCGUUGAUGUACGUUCUGUUUGUGUGCAUGUGUGGUGCCAGGUCCCCAGAAGUGGUCCCUGGAAACGCGGAGCAGCUCUUAGCCGAGCCCCGCCAUCCCUCCCUGCGUCUGUCAGCUGUGGAAGCUCCACCCCCACCCCCCGGCUUGCAGGAGAUGAAGGAAUGGCAGAACAGAACCCCUGGGCAAAUGGGGAGUCACUUGUACAUACCCAGCAAGUUUCUUAAGUGGACAACAGUAAUACCUCUUGGGGGCUGGCAGAGCCUGGAGUGCUGCAACAAGUGUCGCCGCUGGAAUGGGAGGAUCACAGUGUCCUGGAGUUCGCUGACCAUCUCAUCCAGGCCUGCAAUGUCCUUCCAAGUUACCUGUAGGUGGGACAAGCUGUGAGCAGUUGGCAGAUAACAAAGGGACUAACAAAGAUUAGAGAGCCUCAAAACUCUCUUGUGUUUUGUCAAGAGGAGCAGCAGCCUGGCCACCUACCUUGAUAUCCUUUGGAACCA